This 594-nucleotide long non-coding RNA is filed under the name Cottoperca gobio. RNAcentral's name for it is "lncRNA (ENSCGOG00000017145.1)". Lineage: Eukaryota; Metazoa; Chordata; Actinopteri; Perciformes; Bovichtidae. The record is from RNAcentral.
AACCAAAAGACCAUAUCCAAACUUGCUACAAGAACUUUUCACUUCACGUCACCCUUUCAUGACAUUCAAAAACCUGCAUAAAAACAUAUGUAAUACUAGUACAGAGUACAGAGUACAGAGUACAGAAUUAUAUCAACAAAUCAGUGGAGACAUUUUAACUAUGGGCCAGUGCAUCAGAAGAUCUAGGUUUCUCAGGAGAAAAUGGAUAUUGUGCAGAAAUGGUGAACAAGACACACAGCAGCCAAGAACCUGGAGAGAGGGAGAAAGUUCAUCUGGACUGAAAUAACUCCAGAAGAAAUGAAGAAGUUCACAGACUGUACAGGAACGUUCAUGGCCAUUUGAUCUAAUCUUCAUAUGAGUGACCCAGAGGAAAAUGAUCAGAAAAAUGGCACCGAGGAUUAUGACCACCUCCACCGGGUCAGACCUCUCAUGGAAAUGAUAUGAAUGAACUGCAAGGCCAUCUACCACCCAAGACAGCACCUUGCAGUCGACGAGAGGAUGGUUGGUACCAAGGCCAGGCUCAGCAUCAAGCAGUACAUGAAGGCCAAGCCAACAAAGUGGGGGCUGAAGUUCUUUGUGCCUGCUGUCAUGAAC